UUGAUCCCGCCGGACCUGACUGCUAUCGGAUUGAUACUAAGCCAUGCGAGUCAUUGUAGUAAUACAAGGCAGACGGCUCAGUAACGCGUAGUCAACCUACCCUGUGGACGGGGAUAACCUCGGGAAGCUGAGAAUAAUACCCGAUAGAACAUUAUGCCUGGAACGGUUUAUGUUUCAAAUAAUUUAUUGCCGUAGGAUGGGACUGCGUCCUAUCAGUUUGUUGGUGAGGUAAUGGCCCACCAAGACUAUUACAGGUACGGGCUCUGAGAGGAGUAGCCCGGAGAUGGGUACUGAGACACGGACCCAGGCCCUAUGGGGCGCAGCAGGCGAGAAAACUUUGCAAUGUGCGAAAGCACGACAAGGUUAAUCCGAGUGGUUUCUGCUAAAGGAACCUUUUGUCAGUCCUAGAAACACUGAUGAAUAAGGGGUGGGCAAGUUCUGGUGUCAGCCGCCGCGGUAAAACCAGCACCUCAAGUGGUCAGGAUGAUUAUUGGGCCUAAAGCAUCCGUAGCCUGCUUUGUAAGUUUUCGGUUAAAUCCAUACGCUCAACGUAUGGGCUGCCGGGAAUACUGCAAAGCUAGGGAGUGGGAGAGGUAGACGGUACUCGGUAGGAAGGGGUAAAAUCCUUUGAUCUAUUGAUGACCACCUGUGGCGAAGGCGGUCUACCAGAACACGUCCGACGGUGAGGGAUGAAAGCUGGGGGAGCAAACCGGAUUAGAUACCCGGGUAGUCCCAGCUGUAAACUAUGCAAACUCAGUGAUGCAUUGGCUUGAUGCCAAUGCAGUGCUGCAGGGAAGCCGUUAAGCUUGCCGCCUGGGAAGUACGUACGCAAGUAUGAAACUUAAAGGAAUUGGCGGGGGAGCACCACAAGGGGUGAAGCCUGCGGUUCAAUUGGAGUC
This 899-nucleotide ribosomal RNA is filed under the name uncultured archaeon. RNAcentral's name for it is "bacterial SSU rRNA". It matches the Rfam family "Archaeal small subunit ribosomal RNA", at positions 8 to 913 of the family's 1478-position model. The record is from RNAcentral.